This is a non-coding RNA of Lolium perenne, 1386 nucleotides long. The record is from RefSeq and is a predicted model, not a curated record. NCBI's taxonomy places the organism in Eukaryota, Viridiplantae, Streptophyta, Magnoliopsida, Poales, Poaceae.
CCUUGCCCCGUUCCUAUCUGCCUCGCAACCGUCGCCGCCUGCUGCCCCACUCCCUCCUUCUUGCCCCUUCCCGCAGCCAUGGGCCGGUUCGACCGUAGGCCCUGCAAGCCGCGCCGUGUCCUAGAGUGUCUUCCUGCCUCCUUCCCGCAGCCAUGGGGUGGCUCGACGGUAGCCCGUGCCAGCCGCGCCGUGUCGCAGAGCGCCCUACAGCCGGUGGAAGACCCGGCGGUGCCCUCCCCCAUCGCCUCGAUCUGGAGGAGGAGGAUAUGGAGGCCCUGUCGCCGGCCGCCUCACUGCCGACGAGAAGGAGGUCUCCUGCUUUUGCGAUGGGUGUCGUUCGUGGCCGCAAUGGUGAGCUGCUCAUGGCCGACCACAGAAGGGAUUUCUUCGCGCCGUCGUCUUGCCGGUAUGAUUUUCUCCGUGCCGCCGCUGAAGAAGACCAUACUGAUGUUCUGAUUUUCCCGAGUUUCCUGAGAAAAAACAGUGUCACGGCCUAACUUCCUUGAUUAUCAGUGUCACGGCCUUCCUCCACAGCUUCAGCACCGGCGGCGACUCGUGGAGCAGAGGAACCCAGUCCUCCUCCACCUCGGGCAUGGCGGCGUGGCUGUGCCUGUGCGGGACGCUGAACAGAACCAAGAGGGCUUGGCGGAGGAGCGGUCGGCCCGGGCUGCACAAGGCCAUGCGCUCCACGUCCAAGCUCAGGGACAUCUCUGUUCUGAGAUGCACUCCGCGUUCAAGGAUCUGAGGCCCUGCUAUAUUUUCUUCUGGAAGCUCCAGUCCAUACCAACACUGCAACCAUGCCGUCCAAUGACCGAACAAAUGCCGUCCAAUGCCCGAUCAUGUUUCUCAUGACAUUGGGGAACUGGGUGUAUUUGAGUACUAACUCAGUAUGCCUUUUUUCUGCUAUGUUUCUUAGUGCCCUCUGACCCCUCUCUACAAUUGGUGUGUAUCAGACUAUAAAUGCGUCUUUUUGCAGUAACUUCUCGAUUUUUCGGUAUGCUUAUAUGAACAACCUUUUCUGUAGCGAUAAAUAUUUCCUUUGUACUAAUUUCUCCAAUUGUCAUUUUGAACAUGCGUAGGACAAAUAAAAAAUGUUUCUUCGACACUUGCUUUCAUGCAUCUUUCGCUCCAUGGCAGUGAUCUUUCUUUAAUUUGUGUAGACACAUCAAGCUCAAAAGUGAGUUUUCAGGAACCUACCUGUUUCAUGAUUAAAUCUAAAUACCACUGGGUUUCUUACCUGCAGGUUUUAAAACAGAAGUGACGAUGGAAGUCGGGUGAUUUAUUAUGUGUUCAGAAAGAGACCACAGCUUGGUAUGUUGGUCCUAUUGUCUUUAAUUCAGGCUGCUUAUUCAUUGCGAAAGAAUAUCAUCUACUCCUAAUUUUGAU